Molecule: long non-coding RNA, 535 nt
Organism: Ruditapes philippinarum (Manila clam)
Lineage: Eukaryota; Metazoa; Mollusca; Bivalvia; Venerida; Veneridae
Exons: 2
Source: RefSeq, a predicted model, not a curated record
UAGUUUGCUUUGUCCUAUUGACACCAAACUUGGUGUGUAGGUAGCUUAUAUCAAGAGGCAGCUUGUGAUUGCUACCCAGGUGUCUGUGAUCAAGGUCAAGGUCACUGUUACUAAAAAUAGAAAUUCAGUUUCCGCUCAAUAACUUGACUUUGCUUUGACCUAUUGACACCAAACUUGGUGUAUGGAUAGCUUAUAUCAAGAGGCAGCUUGGGAUUGCUACCCAGGUGUCUGUGAUCAAGGUCACUGUUACUAAAAAAAGAAAUUCAGUUUCCGCUCAAUAACGUGAGUUUGCUUUGGCCUAUUGACACCAAACUUGGUGUAUGGAUAGGUUAUAUCAAGAGGCAGCUUGGGAUUGCUACCCAGGUGUCUGUGAUCUAGGUCAAGGUCACUGUUACUAAAAAUAGAAAUUCAGUUUUUGCUCAAUAACUUGAGUUUGCUUUGGCCUAUUGACACCAAACUUGGUGUAUGGAUAGCUUAUAUCAAGAGGCAGCUUGGGAUUGCUACCCAGGUGUCUGUGAUCAAGGUCAAGGUCACU